Molecule: non-coding RNA, 291 nt
Organism: Pimephales promelas (fathead minnow)
Lineage: Eukaryota; Metazoa; Chordata; Actinopteri; Cypriniformes; Leuciscidae
Source: RefSeq, a predicted model, not a curated record
AACAGCACAGAGAGGGACCCUUCUGUCUCCAUAGAAACUACAAAACGCUCUGGAUAAGUCACGCAAUGGACGAAGAUCAGUCUGCUGUGGAGACUAACGUUACAUUUGUUGUGGACGAGAUUACCACGCUUAUCAAACAAAGAAGUAUUUACUACUCCAAUGUGUAGACAUUAAGCUGUUGAAAGCACCAACACAACAAAAUCAACCAGUGGAUGUCAAACAUUGUAGAGUCAAGUCUGAGCCAGCUGACUAAAUUAGGAAAACCUUUUAAGUACAUAGGUAUGGUAACAG